CCAAUCCCUCCCAGCAUCAGAGUCUUUUCCAGUGAGUCAACUCUUCACAUGAGGUGGCCAAAGUACUGGAGUUUCAGCUUUAGCAUCAUUCCUUCCAAAGAAAUCCCAGGGCUGAUCUCCUUCAGAGAGAGGAGGAGCAACCCCAUGCCCAAGACCAGGGGCGGCAACUGGGAGGACCAACCCCACAUCCAAGGAGCGGUGGCUGCGCGGGCACAGGAGGGCCUAGAGGAGCUAUCCCACAUUGAAGGUCAGGAAGGGUGGCGGUGAGGAGAUACCCCUCGUCCAAGGUAAGGAGCAAUGGCUGCACUUUGCUGGAGCAGCCAUGAAGAGAUAACCCACGCCCAAGGUAAGAGAAACCCAAGUAAGAUGGUAGGUGUUGCAAGAGGGCAUCAGAGGGCAGACACACUGAAACCAUACUCACAGAAAACUAGUCAAUCUAAUCACACUAGGACCACAGCCUUGUCUAACUCAGUGAAACCAAGCCAUGCCUGUGGGGCAACCCAAGACAGGGGGGUCAUGGUGGAGAGAUCUGACAGAAUGUGGUCCACUGGAGAAGGGAAUGGCAAACCACUUCAGUAUUCUUGCCUUGAGAACCCCAUGAACAGUAUGAAAAGGCAAAAUGAUAGGAUACUGAAAGAGGAACUCCGCAGGUCAGUAGGGGCCCAAUAUGCUACUGGAGAUCAGUGGAGAAAUAACUCCAGAAAGAAUGAAGGGAUGGAGCCAAAGCAAAAACAAUAGCCAGCUGUGGAUGUGACUGGUGAUAGAAGCAAGGUCCAAUGCUGUAAAGAGCAAUAUUGCAUAGGAACCUGGAAUGUCAGGUCCAUGAAUCAAGGCAAAUUGGUAGUGGUCAAACAAGAGAUGGCAAGAGUGAAUGUCAACAUUCUAGGAAUCAGUGAACUAAAAUGGACUGGAAUGAGUGAAUUUAACUCAGAUGACCAUUAUACCUACUACUGCGGGAGGAAUCCCUCAGAAGAAAUGGAGUAGCCAUCAUGGUCAACAAAAGAGUCUGAAAUGCAGUACUUGGAUGCAAUCUCAAAAACAACAGAAUUAUCUCUGUUCGUUUCCAAGGCAAACCAUUCAAUAUCACAUUAAUCCAAGUCUGUGCCCCAACCAGUAAUGCUAAAGAAGCUGAAGUUGAAUGGUUCUAUGAAGACCUACAAGACCUUUUAGAACUAACACCCAAAAAAGAUGUCCUUUUCAUUAUAGGGGACUGGAAUGCAAAACUAGGAAGUCAAGAAACACCUGGAGUAACAGGAAAAUUUGGCCUUGCAAUAUGGAAUGAAGCAGGGCAAAGACUAAUAGAGUUUUGCCAAGAAAAUGCACUGGUCAUAACAAACACCCUCUUCCAACAACACAAGAGAAGACUCUAUACAUGGACAUCACCAGCUGGUCAACACCGAAAUCAGCCUGAUUAUAUUCUUUGCAGCCAAAGAUGGAGAAGCUCUAUACAGUCCACAAAAACAAGACCAGAAGCUGACUGUGGCUCAGAUCAUGAACUCCUUAUUACCAAAUUCAGACUUAAAUUGAAGAAAAUAGAGAAAACCACUAGACCAUUCAGGUAUGACCUAAAUCAAAUCCCUUAUGAUUAUACAGUGGAAGUGAGAAAUAGAUUUAAGGGCCUAGAUCUGAUAGAUAGAGUGCCUGAUGAACUAUGGAAUGAGGUUCGUGACAUUGUACAGGAGACAGGGAUCAAGACCAUCCCCAUAGAAAAGAAAUGCAAAAAAGCAAAAUGGCUGUCUGGGGAGGCCUUACAAAUAGCUGUGAAAAGAAGAGAAGCAAAAAGCAAAGGAGAAAAGGAAAGAUAUAAGCAUCUGAAUGCAGAGUUCCAAAGAAUAGCUAGGAG
Molecule: long non-coding RNA, 1843 nt
Organism: Bos taurus (domestic cattle)
Lineage: Eukaryota; Metazoa; Chordata; Mammalia; Artiodactyla; Bovidae
Source: Ensembl